Phrynosoma platyrhinos (Desert horned lizard) is the source of this 72-nucleotide non-coding RNA. The record is from the annotation of a GenBank genome assembly. NCBI's taxonomy places the organism in Eukaryota, Metazoa, Chordata, Lepidosauria, Squamata, Phrynosomatidae.
AGCAGUGUGGCAUAGUGGCUUGAGUGUUGAACUAGAGCUCUGGAGACCAGGGUUUGAUUCCCUGCUUGGCCA